RNAcentral lists this transfer-messenger RNA (354 nucleotides) under chicken gut metagenome. It matches the Rfam family "transfer-messenger RNA". From Rfam's summary of the family: Bacterial tmRNA, also known as 10Sa RNA or SsrA, is named for its dual tRNA and mRNA-like properties. Its role is to liberate the mRNA from a stalled ribosome. The record is from RNAcentral.
GGGGAUGUAAUGGUUUCGACAUACUACCCAAAAUAUAAAUAGCAAGUAGUGGAUGGUUGCUUUGGCCACUUAAAAAAAGCAAAAUUUAAAAAUAAACGCUAACAAACAAGAAGUAGCAUUAGCUGCCUAAGUGUAGCUACACUUUACUAAAUAGCCCACUUAUUUAGAUAAGGUGUCAUACUAGUGGGAAACAAAUCUACUUUAGCUUUGAAAGUAGAGGGUAUUUUAAAAGCUAUAUUUUAUUUUAACCUGUUUAUCGGUGAAAAUAAAAUGAAUAUAAAAGAUAAACUAAACUUGUAGAAGUUUAUAUGGAAGGUUUUAUGGACAGGAGUUCGAUUCUCCUCAUCUCCACCA